Molecule: ribosomal RNA, 253 nt
Filed under: uncultured bacterium
Lineage: Bacteria
Description: partial 16S ribosomal RNA
Rfam family: Bacterial small subunit ribosomal RNA
Source: RNAcentral
UACAGGGGGGGCAAGCGUUGUUCGGAAUUACUGGGCGUAAAGGGCUCGUAGGCGGCCAACUAAGUCACACGUGAAAUCCCCAGGCUUAACCUGGGAACUGCGUGUGAUACUGGAUGGCUUGAAUUCGGGAGAGGGAUGCAGAAUUCCAGGUGUAGCGGUGAAAUGCGUAGAUAUCUGGAGGAAUACCGGUGGCGAAGGCGGCAUCCUGGACCAAUUCUGACGCUGAGGAGCGAAAGCCAGGGGAGCAAACGGG